This 1400-nucleotide ribosomal RNA is filed under the name uncultured bacterium. RNAcentral's name for it is "16S ribosomal RNA". It matches the Rfam family "Bacterial small subunit ribosomal RNA". The record is from RNAcentral.
AGAGUUUGAUCCUGGCUCAGGAUGAACGCUGGCGGCAUGCCUAAUACAUGCAAGUCGAACGAGAGGAAGGGAAGCUUGCUUUUCUGAAUCUAGUGGCGAACGGGUGAGUAACACGUAGGUAACCUGCCCAUGUGCCCGGGAUAACUUCUGGAAACGGAUGCUAAACCGGAUAGGUAGCAGACAAGCAUUUGACUGCUAUUAAAGUGGCUAAGGCCAUGAACAUGGAUGGACCUGCGGUGCAUUAGCUGGUUGGUGAGGUAACGGCCCACCAAGGCGACGAUGCAUAGCCGGCCUGAGAGGGCGGACGGCCACAUUGGGACUGAGACACGGCCCAAACUCCUACGGGAGGCAGCAGUAGGGAAUUUUCGUCAAUGGGGGGAACCCUGAACGAGCAAUGCCGCGUGAGUGAGGAAGGUCUUCGGAUCGUAAAGCUCUGUUGUAAGAGAAAAACGACAUUCAUAGGGAAUGAUGAGUGAGUGAUGGUAUCUUACCAGAAAGUCACGGCUAACUACGUGCCAGCAGCCGCGGUAAUACGUAGGUGGCGAGCGUUAUCCGGAAUGAUUGGGCGUAAAGGGUGCGUAGGUGGCAGAACAAGUCUGGAGUAAAAGGUAUGGGCUCAACCCGUACUGGCUCUGGAAACUGUUCAGCUAGAGAACAGAAGAGGACGGCGGAACUCCAUGUGUAGCGGUAAAAUGCGUAGAUAUAUGGAAGAACACCGGUGGCGAAGGCGGCCGUCUGGUCUGUUGCUGACACUGAAGCACGAAAGCGUGGGGAGCAAAUAGGAUUAGAUACCCUAGUAGUCCACGCCGUAAACGAUGAGAACUAGGUGUUGGGGGGAAUAAUUCAGUGCCCCCAGUUAACGCAAUAAGUUUCUCCGCCUGGGGAGUAUGCACGCAAGUGUGAAAUUCAAAGGAAUUGACGGGGGCCCGCACAAGCGGUGGAGUAUUGUGGUUUAAUUCGAAGCAACGCGAAGAACCUUACCAGGCCUUGACAGGGAAACAAAUACCCUAGAGAUAGGGGGAUAAUUAUGGAUCACACAGGUGGUGCAUGGUUGUCGUCAGCUCGUGUCGUGAGAUGUUGGGUUAAGUCCCGCAACGAGCGCAACCCUUGUCGCAUGUUACCAGCAUCAAGUUGGGGACUCAUGCGAGACUGCCGGUGACAAACCGGAGGAAGGUGGGGAUGACGUCAAAUCAUCAUGCCCCUUAUGGCCUGGGCUACACACGUACUACAAUGGCGACCACAAAGAGCAGCGACUUGGUGACAAGAAGCGAAUCUCAUAAAGGUCGUCUCAGUUCGGAUUGAAGUCUGCAACUCGACUUCAUGAAGUUGGAAUCGCUAGUAAUCGCGGAUCAGAAUGCCGCGGUGAAUACGUUCCCGGGUCUUGUACACACCGCCCGUCA